GAGACUCCAUCUCAAAAAAAAAAAAAAAAAAAAAGAGUAACCCAAUAGCCGUCUUCCUGCCUCCCAGCACUGCCCCCGACUCUGCCCCCGCCCCCCGUCCCGGCACCACUCCCGCUCCAAGCUCCAAGCCUUGCCUCCCUUCUCCUGGGCUUUCACCUUCCAGAUUAGGGGUGGGGUUAUCACUGUUAUCACCCCCUCUCCCAGAUAAGGAAAUUGACACCCAGAGAGGGAAAUGUGGGCGUCAAUUCGAGAUGUGGAGGCUGCCCUGAACAGUCCCGCCCAGAAUGUGCAUGAGUGAAUGGAACCUGACCCCCGACUCAUACGAGAGAAGAUGAGGAAACUGAGGCCCAGAGGUUAAUUCCCAGCUGAGAAGGCUGGGGACAGCUUCCUGGAAGAACUGGUGCUUUUAGAAUGACCUGGCAGGCAGCUGACCUUGGGGACUGGUUGGCCUCUGGCUCACAGGGUGCUUGUCUCUGACCUUGACGAAGGCCCCCUCCACCACUUGGGCUCUUAACAGGAAGAACUGUCCCCGCCCAGCGUACCUCCCGGGGGGACUGCUUGAAUGAACACAGGUCAGGAAGUGGAAUGCCCUUGCCAAGGCUGCAGGGGCACCUAAAGCCGGAGAGAUGACUAUUAACCCUCUUCACCCACUCCUUCCUUUGAGCCUUCCUUCACCACAUGUGUAUUGCGCUCACCUGUGUUCCUAGGGGCACAACAGUGAACAGCACAGAGGUGGUUCCUGCCCGCCCGAGAGGCAAACAAAAACACCCAGAGAAUUAC
Chlorocebus sabaeus (green monkey) is the source of this 780-nucleotide non-coding RNA. Lineage: Eukaryota; Metazoa; Chordata; Mammalia; Primates; Cercopithecidae. The record is from RefSeq and is a predicted model, not a curated record.